Molecule: ribosomal RNA, 1434 nt
Filed under: uncultured organism
Description: 16S ribosomal RNA
Rfam family: Bacterial small subunit ribosomal RNA
Source: RNAcentral
CAGGCUUAACACAUGCAAGUCGAGGGGCAGCAUGGUCUUAGCUUGCUAAGGCCGAUGGCGACCGGCGCACGGGUGAGUAACACGUAUCCAACCUGCCGUCUACUCUUGGACAGCCUUCUGAAAGGAAGAUUAAUACAAGAUGGCAUCAUGAGUCCGCAUGUUCACAUGAUUAAAGGUAUUCCGGUAGACGAUGGGGAUGCGUUCCAUUAGAUAGUAGGCGGGGUAACGGCCCACCUAGUCUUCGAUGGAUAGGGGUUCUGAGAGGAAGGUCCCCCACAUUGGAACUGAGACACGGUCCAAACUCCUACGGGAGGCAGCAGUGAGGAAUAUUGGUCAAUGGGCGAGAGCCUGAACCAGCCAAGUAGCGUGAAGGAUGACUGCCCUAUGGGUUGUAAACUUCUUUUAUAAAGGAAUAAAGUCGGGUAUGGAUACCCGUUUGCAUGUACUUUAUGAAUAAGGAUCGGCUAACUCCGUGCCAGCAGCCGCGGUAAUACGGAGGAUCCGAGCGUUAUCCGGAUUUAUUGGGUUUAAAGGGAGCGUAGAUGGAUGUUUAAGUCAGUUGUGAAAGUUUGCGGCUCAACCGUAAAAUUGCAGUUGAUACUGGAUAUCUUGAGUGCAGUUGAGGCAGGCGGAAUUCGUGGUGUAGCGGUGAAAUGCUUAGAUAUCACGAAGAACUCCGAUUGCGAAGGCAGCCUGCUAAGCUGCAACUGACAUUGAGGCUCGAAAGUGUGGGUAUCAAACAGGAUUAGAUACCCUGGUAGUCCACACGGUAAACGAUGAAUACUCGCUGUUUGCGAUAUACUGCAAGCGGCCAAGCGAAAGCGUUAAGUAUUCCACCUGGGGAGUACGCCGGCAACGGUGAAACUCAAAGGAAUUGACGGGGGCCCGCACAAGCGGAGGAACAUGUGGUUUAAUUCGAUGAUACGCGAGGAACCUUACCCGGGCUUAAAUUGCAGAUGAAUUACGGUGAAAGCCGUAAGCCGCAAGGCAUCUGUGAAGGUGCUGCAUGGUUGUCGUCAGCUCGUGCCGUGAGGUGUCGGCUUAAGUGCCAUAACGAGCGCAACCCUUGUUGUCAGUUACUAACAGGUUCCGCUGAGGACUCUGACAAGACUGCCAUCGUAAGAUGUGAGGAAGGUGGGGAUGACGUCAAAUCAGCACGGCCCUUACGUCCGGGGCUACACACGUGUUACAAUGGGGGGUACAGAGGGUCGCUACCACGCGAGUGGAUGCCAAUCCCCAAAACCUCUCUCAGUUCGGACUGGAGUCUGCAACCCGACUCCACGAAGCUGGAUUCGCUAGUAAUCGCGCAUCAGCCACGGCGCGGUGAAUACGUUCCCGGGCCUUGUACACACCGCCCGUCAAGCCAUGGGAGCCGGGGGUACCUGAAGUGCGUAACCGCGAGGAGCGCCCUAGGGUAAAACUGGUGACUGGGGC